This 508-nucleotide ribosomal RNA is filed under the name uncultured bacterium. RNAcentral describes it as "partial 16S ribosomal RNA". It matches the Rfam family "Bacterial small subunit ribosomal RNA", at positions 28 to 507 of the family's 1533-position model. The record is from RNAcentral.
GACGAACGCUGGCGGCGUGCUUAACACAUGCAAGUCGAACGGGCCUUGUCCCCUUUUUUUUUGGGGGUGGGGUUAGUGGCGAACGGGUGAGUAACACGUGAGUAACCUGCCCCUCACUUCUGGAUAACCGCUUGAAAGGGUGGCUAAUACGGGGUGUUCUGGCCUGCUCGCAUGGGUGGGUUUGGAAAGAUUCGACCGGUUUUGGUUGUUUUGGUGGGGGAUGGGCUCGCGGCCUAUCAGCUUGUUGGUGGGGUGAUGGCCUGCCAAGGCUUUGACGGGUAGCCGGCCUGAGAGGGUGGGCGGUCACACUGGGAGUGAGACACGGCCCAGACUCCUACGGGAGGCAGCAGUGGGGAAUAUUGCACAAUGGGCGCAAGCCUGAUGCAGCGACGCCGCGUGAGGGAUGGAGGCCUUCGGGUUGUGAACCUCUUUCGCCAGUGAAGAAGGUCCUGCUCUUUGUGGUGGGGUUGACGGUAGCUGGGUUAAUGAAGCGCCGGCUAACUACGUG